This 198-nucleotide ribosomal RNA is filed under the name uncultured crenarchaeote. Its description in RNAcentral is "partial 16S ribosomal RNA". It matches the Rfam family "Archaeal small subunit ribosomal RNA", at positions 849 to 1044 of the family's 1478-position model. Lineage: Archaea; Thermoproteati; Thermoproteota. The record is from RNAcentral.
CUGAAACUUAAAGGAAUUGGCGGGGGAGCACCACCAGGCCGUGAAGCUUGCGGUUUAAUUGGAUGUCAACGCCGGAAAUCUUACCGGGGUCGACAGCAAAAUGAAGGCCAGGCUGAAGGUCUUGCUAGAUGAGCUGAGAGGCGGUGCAUGGCCAUCGCCAGUUCGUGCCGUGAGGUGUCCUCUUAAGUGAGGUAACGA